CAGCCGCCGCGGUAAUACGAAGGGGGCUAGCGUUGCUCGGAAUUACUGGGCGUAAAGGGAGCGUAGGCGGACAUUUAAGUCAGGGGUGAAAUCCCAGAGCUCAACUCUGGAACUGCCUUUGAUACUGGGUGUCUUGAGUGUGAUAGAGGUAUGUGGAACUCCGAGUGUAGAGGUGAAAUUCGUAGAUAUUCGGAAGAACACCAGUGGCGAAGGCGACAUACUGGAUCAUUACUGACGCUGAGGCUCGAAAGCGUGGGGAGCAAACAGGAUUAGAUACCCCAGUAGUCCCUGUCUCUUAUAC
This 301-nucleotide ribosomal RNA is filed under the name uncultured bacterium. Its description in RNAcentral is "partial 16S ribosomal RNA". It matches the Rfam family "Bacterial small subunit ribosomal RNA", at positions 509 to 807 of the family's 1533-position model. The record is from RNAcentral.